GGGCAAUUAGCUCAGCUGGUUAGAGUAUCACGUUGACAUCGUGGGGGUCACUGGUUCGAUCCCAGUAUUGCCCA
RNAcentral lists this transfer RNA (74 nucleotides) under Spirochaetales bacterium. RNAcentral describes it as "tRNA-Val". It matches the Rfam family "tRNA". Rfam says of the family: Transfer RNA (tRNA) molecules are approximately 80 nucleotides in length. Their secondary structure includes four short double-helical elements and three loops (D, anti-codon, and T loops). Lineage: Bacteria; Pseudomonadati; Spirochaetota; Spirochaetia; Spirochaetales. The record is from RNAcentral.